AGUCUGGGUGGACAGCUUCGCCGGAGCUGAGAGCCCGCGACCUGCCGGACCAGGGCUGGGCCGCGGGUCAAUGAUCCAGGAAAUCCCGUCACUCGCGUGCCUGUGGCUGAAGCGCGGCAGCUUGUCUUGUCCGUUUCGUGUCAGUUUCAGGGCUGAGUGGCAGCGUCUGGACUUUGCGGACGCCGAGGGCUCAGAUGCUGGGCUCUGGGGAGGGAGAGGGCGCCGGCCGGCCUGUCCCUCUCCGGGGAUUUGCAGGUACCACCUGUCGGCUUUGUUUCAUCAUCAGGAGCCCCUUUGCCCAGAAAUCCCGAUCGUCUACACCCAGGUCUCUACUGAUCAGAGAUUGAGAGUGAGUCAACAGGAGUCCAACACGUGACCCCCAUAAGUCUACCCUCUUUUCCCCCAAUACUUGUAGAUACCACCCAGUAACACCCGUGUGUGCUAAAAAUCCUAUUCUGGGAGUUCUUCGGCAGUUUAAAUCGCCCAUGAAUUACUCAUAUUUUCUCAAUCCACCGUGAGCCUGGCACAUUUCUUUUCAGUAAUUGAUUGGGAAAGUGCAAGCCAUUGGUGACCUUUAGAAGUUUUAAAUGUUUAUAACGAAAGGGCUAAGGACAGAGGAGAUUACCCACACUUAAGUAUUUUGCACCUUAAAAAUGCUAGCAAAAAUAUGAAUUUAUAUUCCUUCAGGGAGAAGAUUUCGUCUGAGGACGUAGGCCGAACCUUGUGUUUUAUAUGUCAUAUGAAUUACGCUCUGAAACUAAAAUAUGAAAUAGAUUCCAUAAUUAAGCCCUUUGGAAUAUCAGCCUCAUCUGAAUUAUUUCUAAGGAUAUUUUUGCCUUUUUUGGUUUAUUAAAAACUUCCUUUUGGGGAAACUUGUAUAGAUUUUCUGCACUUAGGCAAAAUAAAGCAUUUUAUUCAAAAUAUUUCUUAGGGUUUUCCUAGAACUUACUCUUCUUUCUUCCUGUAAAGACAAACCUAGGAAAUUGUUCAGAAAAAGGCCCAAGGUGAUUUCCUCAUAACCUAUAGUGAUUAGUGAGAAAAAGUUUGGAUAUUGGGGAUUUCGGGGUUGAUUUGAUAAUUUCAGGAAAAUGAAGAAAACCUCAAAUUUAAGAUAUUAAAAUGUUUAAAAAUUGUCCUAGAGAAAACGAUGGUACUAAAAGCUUAAAAAUUUCUAAAGAUUAAGAGAGCUGACAGUGAUUUAAAAAAUACAUUUAAUCUAGGAAAAGCAGUAGAUUAAGAAAGAUAUUAGGAAUGUUGUCAAAUGCUGUCUUUUAAAGGUGGAUAAUUGCUUUAGUGACAC
Molecule: long non-coding RNA, 1300 nt
Filed under: Homo sapiens (human)
Lineage: Eukaryota; Metazoa; Chordata; Mammalia; Primates; Hominidae
Description: non-protein coding lnc-EZH2-5:4
Source: RNAcentral